UGUAGGAGCUGCCGAAGGCUGCGAUCUUUUGAUCUUGAUCUUAAAAACAAAAUCAAAAGAUCGCAGCCUUCGGCAGCUCCUACA
Molecule: non-coding RNA, 84 nt
Filed under: Pseudomonas helmanticensis
Lineage: Bacteria; Pseudomonadati; Pseudomonadota; Gammaproteobacteria; Pseudomonadales; Pseudomonadaceae
Source: RNAcentral